This 398-nucleotide ribosomal RNA is filed under the name uncultured bacterium. Its description in RNAcentral is "partial 16S ribosomal RNA". It matches the Rfam family "Bacterial small subunit ribosomal RNA", at positions 523 to 918 of the family's 1533-position model. The record is from RNAcentral.
CUACGUAGGGUGCGAGCGUUGUCCGGAAUUACUGGGCGUAAAGAGCUCGUAGGUGGUUUGCCGCGUCGUCUGUGAAAUUCCGGGGCUUAACUCCGGGCGUGCAGGCGAUACGGGCAUAACUUGAGUACUGUAGGGGAGACUGGAAUACCUGGUGUAGCGGUGAAAUGCGCAGAUAUCAGGAGGAACACCGGUGGCGAAGGCGGGUCUCUGGGCAGUAACUGACGCUGAGGAGCGAAAGCAUGGGUAGCGAACAGGAUUAGAUACCCUGGUAGUCCAUGCCGUAAACGGUGGGCGCUAGGUGUAGGGGUCUUCCACGACUUCUGUGCCGUAGCUAACGCAUUAAGCGCCCCGCCUGGGGAGUACGGCCGCAAGGCUAAAACUCAAAUGAAUUGGCGGGG